CAGAGUACGGGACGGUCACACCUCAACUGAAACCUUCACUGAUUACCUGAUGAUGUGAAAAGAUCUGAUAUUAUA
Molecule: small nucleolar RNA, 75 nt
Organism: Cavia aperea (Brazilian guinea pig)
Lineage: Eukaryota; Metazoa; Chordata; Mammalia; Rodentia; Caviidae
Gene: SNORD81
Rfam family: Small nucleolar RNA SNORD81
About the family: U81 is a member of the C/D class of snoRNA which contain the C (UGAUGA) and D (CUGA) box motifs.
Source: Ensembl